GACGAACGCUGGCGGCGUGCUUAACACAUGCAAGUCGAACGGAAAGGCCCUGCUUUUGUGGGGUGCUCGAGUGGCGAACGGGUGAGUAACACGUGAGUAACCUGCCCUUGACUUUGGGAUAACUUCAGGAAACUGGGGCUAAUACCGGAUAGGAGCUCCUGCUGCAUGGUGGGGGUUGGAAAGUUUCGGCGGUUGGGGAUGGACUCGCGGCUUAUCAGCUUGUUGGUGGGGUAGUGGCUUACCAAGGCUUUGACGGGUAGCCGGCCUGAGAGGGUGACCGGCCACAUUGGGACUGAGAUACGGCCCAGACUCCUACGGGAGGCAGCAGUGGGGAAUAUUACACAAUGGGCGGAAGCCUGAUGCAGCAACGCCGCGUGCGGGAUGACGGCCUUCGGGUUGUGAACCGCUUUCGCCUGUGACGAAGCGUGAGUGACGGUAAUGGGUAAAGAAGCACCGGCUAACUACGUG
This 468-nucleotide ribosomal RNA is filed under the name uncultured bacterium. RNAcentral's name for it is "partial 16S ribosomal RNA". It matches the Rfam family "Bacterial small subunit ribosomal RNA", at positions 28 to 507 of the family's 1533-position model. The record is from RNAcentral.